Non-coding RNA from Choloepus didactylus (southern two-toed sloth), 1143 nucleotides. The record is from the annotation of a RefSeq genome assembly. NCBI's taxonomy places the organism in Eukaryota, Metazoa, Chordata, Mammalia, Pilosa, Megalonychidae.
AUGGACCAGGCUCAGCAGGCUCUAGAUUGUCUCCCCUGUGUUCCAGAACCUGUAACCGAACCCAAGGUCUUCCCUCUGAGCCACGCAAUCACAGACGACCACGCGGUCCUUGGCUGCCUGGUGCAGGGCUACUUCCCAGAGCCUGUGACAGUGAACUGGAGCUACAGCGCGACAGGCGUCAACAUCAGCCAAUUCCCGGCAGUGCAGGCUGAAGGGAGCUCCCUGUACACCACAAGCAGCCUGCUCACCCUGCCAGCCAACCAGUGCCUGGACACUGCCACUUUCGUCUGUCAGGUGCAGCUCAAAGAAUCCAGCUCAACCCAGGAAGCGAUCGUGCCCUGCAAAGCCACUCCCGUUCCCUGUCCUGACUGUCCUGCGUGCUGCCAAGCCCGUCUGUCGCUGCACCGGCCAGCCCUCGAAGACCUGCUCCUGAGCUCCAACGCCAGCCUCAAGUGCACUCUGAGUGGCCUCAAAGACCCUAAAGGUGCCGUCUUCACCUGGAAGCCCUCGGGCGAGAAGGCCACCACCCAGGAGGCACCUGAACGUGACUCCUGCGGCUGCUACAGCGUCACCAGUGUCCUGCCAGGCUGCGCCGAGCCAUGGAAACGUGGGGACACUUUCACAUGCUCAGCUGUCCACCCCGAGGCCAAGAGCCUGGAGGCUGUCACCAUCACCAAAGACUCAGGGAACAGCUUCCCUCCCCAGGUCCACCUACUGCCGCCGCCGUCGGAGGAGCUGGCCCAGAAUGCGGAGGUGACGCUGAUGUGUUUGGUUCGGGGCUUCUCCCCCAAGGAGGUGUUGAUACGCUGGCUGCGAGAGAGUGAGGCGCUGCCCAGCAAGGACUACGUGACCUUGGCCCCGGUAAAGGAGCCAGGCCAGGGCACCGACAGAUUCGCCGUGACCAGUCUCCUGCGAGUGUCGGCCAAGGACUGGCAAGCGGGAGACAACUACUCCUGCAUGGUGGGCCAUGAGUCCCUGCCCGUGCCCUUCACCCAGAAGACCAUCAACCGCUUGGCGGGUAAACCCACCCAUGUCAACGUGUCUGUGGUCAUGGCUGAGGUGGAUGGCAUCUGCUACUGAGCCUCCCACACCCACCUGCCCCUUGAAUAAACACCGUGCUCACCAGAAGCAGCACCGCUCUUC